This 374-nucleotide ribosomal RNA is filed under the name uncultured organism. RNAcentral describes it as "partial 16S ribosomal RNA". It matches the Rfam family "Bacterial small subunit ribosomal RNA", at positions 527 to 896 of the family's 1533-position model. The record is from RNAcentral.
GUAGGUGGCAAGCGUUGUCCGGAAUUAUUGGGGCGUAAAGCGCGCGCAGGCGGUUCUCUAAGUCUGAUGUGAAAGCCCACGGGCUCAACCGUGGAGGGUCAUUGGAAACUGGAGAACUUGAGUACAGAAGAGGAAAGCGGAAUUCCACGUGUAGCGGUGAAAUGCGUAGAGAUGUGGAGGAACACCAGUGGCGAAGGCGGCUUUCUGGUCUGUAACUGACGCUGAGGCGCGAAAGCGUGGGGAGCAAACAGGAUUAGAUACCCUGGUAGUCCACGCCGUAAACGAUGAGUGCUAAGUGUUAGGGGGUUUCCGCCCCUUAGCGCUGCAGCUAACGCAUUAAGCACUCCGCCUGGGGAGUACGGCCGCAAAGGCUG